AACAGAAACAGAGCGAGUCAGAAGGGGCCUCCCGGGCCGUCUGGUCUGACCCUCGGCUCUAGCCGACUUGCCUCAUGACCCCCCCACC
Varanus komodoensis (Komodo dragon) is the source of this 88-nucleotide long non-coding RNA. RefSeq lists it as uncharacterized. The transcript is spliced from 3 exons. The record is from RefSeq and is a predicted model, not a curated record. Lineage: Eukaryota; Metazoa; Chordata; Lepidosauria; Squamata; Varanidae.